GACGAACGCUGGCGGCGUGCUUAACACAUGCAAGUCGAACGGAAAGGCCCUGCUUGCAGGGUACUCGAGUGGCGAACGGGUGAGUAACACGUGGGUGAUCUGCCCUGCACUUCGGGAUAAGCCUGGGAAACUGGGUCUAAUACCGGAUAGGAGCCAUUUUUAGUGUGAUGGUUGGAAAGUUUUUUCGGUGUAGGAUGAGCUCGCGGCCUAUCAGCUUGUUGGUGGGGUAAUGGCCUACCAAGGCGGCGACGGGUAGCCGGCCUGAGAGGGUGGACGGCCACAUUGGGACUGAGAUACGGCCCAGACUCCUACGGGAGGCAGCAGUGGGGAAUAUUGCACAAUGGGCGAAAGCCUGAUGCAGCGACGCCGCGUGGGGGAUGACGGCCUUCGGGUUGUAAACUCCUUUCGCUAGGGACGAAGCUUUUUGUGACGGUACCUAGAGAAGAAGCACCGGCUAACUACGUG
RNAcentral lists this ribosomal RNA (465 nucleotides) under uncultured bacterium. RNAcentral's name for it is "partial 16S ribosomal RNA". It matches the Rfam family "Bacterial small subunit ribosomal RNA", at positions 28 to 507 of the family's 1533-position model. The record is from RNAcentral.